UACGGAGGAUGCAAGCGUUAUCCGGAUUCAUUGGGUUUAAAGGGUGCGUAGGCGGCUUUUUAAGUCAGUGGUGAAAUCUUGCCGCUUAACGGUAAAAUUGCCAUUGAUACUGAAAAGCUUGAGUACAUUUGAGGUAAGCGGAAUGUGUAGUGUAGCGGUGAAAUGCUUAGAUAUUACACAGAACACCAAUUGCGAAGGCAGCUUACUAAACUGUUACUGACGCUGAUGCACGAAAGCGUGGGGAGCGAACAGGAUUAGAUACCCUGGUAGUCCACGCCGUAAACGAUGCUCACUCGCUGUUUGCGAUACACAGCAAGCGGCCAAGCGAAAGCAUUAAGUGAGCCACCUGGGGAGUACGAUCGCAAGGUUGAA
RNAcentral lists this ribosomal RNA (372 nucleotides) under uncultured bacterium. RNAcentral describes it as "bacterial SSU rRNA". It matches the Rfam family "Bacterial small subunit ribosomal RNA", at positions 524 to 898 of the family's 1533-position model. The record is from RNAcentral.